Molecule: long non-coding RNA, 1395 nt
Organism: Oncorhynchus gorbuscha (pink salmon)
Lineage: Eukaryota; Metazoa; Chordata; Actinopteri; Salmoniformes; Salmonidae
Exons: 2
Source: RefSeq, a predicted model, not a curated record
CCCCCUCAGUGUGAGGGACAUGAUGGAUGCCAGGGAGGAGAUGCUGACCCUGCUACAGAAGCUCUGGGCCAAACUGCAGGGUCUCCCCACCGCCAGCCCUCUGGAGAUGGGGGCCUUCGCUGUCCUCGUCCUCUUUAUCGUGGUCUUCCUGCUCAUGCUGCUGAUGACCUGUUUGACGUGCUGCUGCUGUCACAGAACCAGAACCAAGGGCCCACAUAGUCAGCUAACCUGAGACAAUCCCCACUUCCCCCAAUAAUGAGGAGAGACAUUAUAAACAGGCACUCUACUGACCUCUAAACCCCAGAAGAAUGAGGACCCAUGCAGAGAGGUGUGAACUGAAAACCCACUGUCACCACUAUAUCACCAGGAGAGACAUUCUGGAGAAGCACUCUAUGGGCCUAUUAACCCCAGAGGAAUGAGGAGGACCCAUGGGAGGGUGUGGAGCCCGUCUAUAAAGGAACCCGGCCCUUGAACAACACACCUCCAUACAAAACACACACAGAGCCUCCCUGAGAAGCAGCAAAACAGGCCCGGCUUCCAGGCUUCCAGGAGUAUCAACAUUCCGUGGGGCAUCCCUGGGCUCUGCUGGCUAACAAAGCCGUGAGAGAUGGACAAGACUAGACCUCUAGGACGGCUUCAACUGAUCCACACAACACAAGGACACAAGGAACACAGGAGCAUGGAAUCACACACACACACACACACAAAGGCAUCAAGUAAUACAAACAACUGGACAUGUAGCUAAAAGGUCCCAAUUGAAGCACAGGAGAUUGCUUGGGGAGAUGAAUGUCUGUCAGUUCUAGGAUGUAUGGGUGUCAACUCAACCUCUGCCACUGGCUCAGAGACUCUAAGAAAGAGCCCUCUGCAGUUUCCAUCAACAACUCACUUAAAUGGAGGCAUCUUGCCAAACACGGUGUGAGAGUGUUGCCAUAUGUCUUCUAUGUAAAGGACUUCCUUUGCUUUAUUGCCUUGUUCAAGUGCUAGAUGAAACUAGGAAACUCAGAAAUGUCCGACUUGCUAACUGGUUGAACGCAGCACGUGGAUAACUACAACCAGUUCACAAGUCGAAAAAGUCUGUUUCCUAGUUCCGACUAGCACGUGAACACAGCAUUAGUUCAGCAAAAACAAGCCAUUAUCUCAUUCCUCAGGCGAUUCAGAGGACCAUGCCUGCCCUCUGCUGUACAAACAUGGAACUGAGGCAGUGAGGAAGCCUUGUAAUAUGCUUCACAGUUACACACAAAAACAGAAAAAGAGUAAUGCUGUCAUUUCCAUAUAGUUGUUGCAUAGGUUAAAAAUGGCAUCUCUUCCUUCUGAAAAAGCAUUUUCUUAGGCUGCCUAAAAUAGUGCAAUACGCUUUUGUAUCUCUUGCAUGAAAUAAAACAAAAAUGCAGAUGA